RNAcentral lists this transfer RNA (64 nucleotides) under Caliscelis shandongensis. RNAcentral's name for it is "tRNA-Ala". Lineage: Eukaryota; Metazoa; Arthropoda; Insecta; Hemiptera; Caliscelidae. The record is from RNAcentral.
AGGAGUAUAGUUAAAAAAUAACAAUUUCUUUGCAAGAAAAAAUUAUUGAAAUCAAUUUCUCUUA